UGCGGCAUUCCAACGAUGGCAGGUUCCUCCGCGGAGCACGCUCCCGACUACAGGUCCGUCCUGAGCAUUAGUGACGAGGCAGCCAGGGUGCGGGCCCUGAACGAGCACCUGAGCACGCGUAGCUAUGUCCAGGGCUUCUCCCUGUCCCAGGCGGACGUGGACGCGUUCAGGCAGCUCUCAGGCCCUCCUGCCGACGCGCAGCUCUUCCACGUGGCUCGGUGGUUCAGGCACGUGGCCGCGAUCCUGGGCAGCCCCCGCGCCCCAGCCCCGCCCUGUGGGCUCCAAGCAAGCAGAGGCCGGCGCACGCAGCCCCCGUGGUCUCCUCCAGCCGGGUCCGAGCCGUGCCAGCUCCGCCUGUACAACAGCCUGACCCGGAGGAAGGACGUGUUUGUACCUCAAGACGGGCGGAGGGUGACGUGGUACUGCUGCGGGCCCACCGUCUACGACGCCUCCCACAUGGGGCACGCCAGGUCCUACAUCUCCUUCGAUAUCUUGAGAAGAGUGCUGAGAGAUUACUUCAAAUUUGACGUCUUUUAUUGCAUGAACAUCACAGACAUUGAUGAUAAGAUCAUCAAGAGGGCCCGGCAGAACUACUUGUUUGAGCAGUACCGGGAGAAGCAGCCCCAGGCAGUGCAGCUCCUGGAGGAUGUGCACGCUGCCCUGCAGCCGUUUUCAGCAAAGUUACGCGAGACCUCGGAUCCCGACAAGAGGCAGAUGCUGGAGUGCCUGGAGCGCGCGGUGAGGCUGGCGGCGGAGCCGCUGGAGGAGCCGGCACGGCGCGGCCUGGCGGGGGAGGAGCUGGACGGCCGCGUGCAGGUGCUGUUGGAAGAAGCAAAGGAUCUGCUUUCCGACUGGCUGGAUUCCAUGCAUGGCAGUGAAGUGAGCGACAAUUCUAUUUUCUCCAAACUGCCCAAGUUCUGGGAAGCGGAGUUCCACAAAGACAUGGAAGCCCUGAACGUCCUCCCUCCAGAUGUCCUAACCCGCGUUAGUGAGUACGUGCCGGAGAUUGUGGACUUCGUCCGGAAGAUUGUGGACAACGGUUAUGGCUACGUUUCAAACGGGUCCGUCUACUUCGACACGGUGAAGUUUGCCAACAGUGAGGGACACUGCUACGGGAAGCUGGUGCCCGAGGCCGUCGGGGAUCAGAAAGCCCUGCAGGAGGGGGAAGGCGACCUGAGUGUCUCGGCCGAGCGCCUGAGUGAGAAGCGGUCCCCCAGCGACUUCGCCCUCUGGAAGGCCUCCAAGCCCGGGGAGCCAUCCUGGCCAUGCCCCUGGGGAAAGGGGCGUCCAGGGUGGCACAUCGAGUGCUCGGCCAUGGCAGGCACCCUCCUCGGAGCCUCAAUGGACCUUCACGGAGGGGGCUUCGACCUCCGCUUCCCCCACCAUGACAACGAGCUGGCGCAGUCGGAGGCCUACUUUGAAAACGACUGCUGGGUCAGGUACUUCCUGCACACGGGCCACCUGACCAUCGCCGGCUGCAAGAUGUCCAAGUCGCUCAAGAACUUCAUCACCAUUAAAGACGCGCUGAAGAAGCACUCAGCCCGGCAGCUGCGCCUGGCCUUCCUCAUGCACUCGUGGAAGGACGCGCUGGACUACUCGGCCAACACCAUGGAGUCGGCGCUGCAGUACGAGAAGCUCCUGAACGAGUUUUUCUUAAACGUGAAAGACCUCCUCCGAGCCCCCAUUGAGGUAGCCGGUCAGUUUGAGAAGUGGGAAGACAAGGAAACAGAGCUGAACAAGAGCUUUUACGACAAGAAGGCGGCGGUCCACGAGGCGCUCUGUGAUAAUGUCGACACGCGCACCGUCCUGGAGGAGAUGCGGGCUCUGGUUGGCCAGUGCAACCACUACAUGGCAGCGCGGAAGGCCGCGAGGAGGAGGCCCAACCGCGCCCUGCUGGAGAGCAUCGCCCGGUACCUCACGCACAUGCUGAAGAUCUUCGGGGCCAUAGAAGAGGAAAGCUCCCUGGGUUUCCCCGUUGGAGGACCUGGAACCAGCCUCAAUCUCGAGCCCACAGUCAUGCCGUACCUGCAGGUGUUGUCGGAGUUCCGGGAAGGAGUGCGAAGGGUCGCCCGUGAGCACAGAGUCCCCGAGGUCCUGCAGCUCAGCGAUGCCUUGCGGGACGACAUCCUGCCUGAGCUGGGGGUGCGGUUUGAAGACCAUGAAGGACUGCCCACUGUGGUCAAGUUGGUGGACAGAGAUACCUUACUGAGAGAGAGAGAAGAGAAGAAAAGGGUGACCUCACCCCGUCCCAGGGCCCCUCUGCCACCUGUGUGCCUGUGACCGCCGAGUCCUCUCUGGCCCAGACUCCUGUGUCCAGCCGCCUACCUGAGGGCUCCGCUUGGCCAGGAAGCACCCGAAACCCAAGACAUCCAAGAGGGAACGCGUGACCUUCGUUCCCCAAACCCGUUCCUCCUUCCUGUCCGGGGCACACGCCGUCCACAUGGUGGCCCGAGCCCAAACCUCCCGAGGCAGCCUCGGGCCCCUCCUCACGGGCGCCCAGCCCAGCCCCCAGGCCCUCCCUCCCUGCCUCCUGCCGGGACGCUGCCUGCCUGGUGGGAAGUGGGCUCUGGCUCCCACCCGUCUCCUCCAGCCAGCCCCCCUCCCGCCCUCCCCAGGUGCCUGGGCCCCUCAGGGUUGGCCCUCGCCGUGCUGUCCCUGGUCCCGCACCCGACCGCAGCCCCCCUGCUGCCGGGCAGGUCUGGUCCUUUCUUCAUGUUGGUUGUGCUGCAGGUGACCUCACGCAUGGUGUCCAGUCACCGCCCCGUGUCGAGAGCAGGGCUGGGCUGAAGAAGAAAAGAGAAGGAAGAAAGAGGAGGCCGCCAGGAAGAGAC
RNA transcript from Orcinus orca (killer whale), 2831 nucleotides. It is a transcript of the gene named cysteinyl-tRNA synthetase 1, with no coding region annotated. Lineage: Eukaryota; Metazoa; Chordata; Mammalia; Artiodactyla; Delphinidae. The transcript has 22 exons. The record is from RefSeq and is a predicted model, not a curated record.